GACGAACGCUGGCGGCGCGCUUAACACAUGCAAGUCGAGCGAAGCGGCGGACGGGUGAGUAACACGUGAGUAACCUGCCUUAGAAAUUGGGAUAGCCUCGGGAAACCGGGAUUAAUACCACAUGUGCUAAGAUGGACUAGCGGCCCGUUAGCGAGUAGGUGCGGUAACGGCCCACCAAGGCGACGAUGGGUAGCCGGCCUGCGAGGGUGAUCGUCAAGAUUGGAGCGCAGAAACGGUCCAGGGUGUACGGGAGGGAGCAGUGGGGAAUGUUGCACAAUGUAGGGAACUCAGAUGCAGCGACGCCGCGUGGGGGAUGAAGGCGUUCGGGUUGUACUUGCUUCGAACAAGGCACGCGGUAGGUGAAGAAGAAGCGCCGGCUAACUACGUGCCAGCAGCCGCGGUAAUUC
This 407-nucleotide ribosomal RNA is filed under the name uncultured bacterium. RNAcentral describes it as "partial 16S ribosomal RNA". It matches the Rfam family "Bacterial small subunit ribosomal RNA", at positions 28 to 526 of the family's 1533-position model. The record is from RNAcentral.